This is a non-coding RNA of Streptomyces albus subsp. albus, 121 nucleotides long. NCBI's taxonomy places the organism in Bacteria, Bacillati, Actinomycetota, Actinomycetes, Kitasatosporales, Streptomycetaceae. The record is from Rfam.
GCAGUCCGUCCCAUGGACGCACCUACGGUCCCGGGCGGCGUCCGGCUACGCUGGCGAGGUGCGCCUUCCCCGAGAAGGACGCAAAGCCGACAGCCGUCGCAUCCCUGGGAGAUCAUCCAUG